UACGUAGGGUGCAAGCGUUAUCCGGAAUGAUUGGGCGUAAAGCGUCCGCAGGUGGCUGUGUAAGUCUGCUGUUAAAGAGUCUAGCUCAACUAGAUACAAGCAGUGGAAACUACACGGCUAGAGUACGUUCGGGGCAGAGGGAAUUCCUGGUGUAGCGGUGAAAUGCGUAGAGAUCAGGAAGAACACCGGUGGCGAAGGCGCUCUGCUAGGCCGUAACUGACACUGAGGGACGAAAGCUAGGGGAGCGAAUGGG
This 253-nucleotide ribosomal RNA is filed under the name uncultured bacterium. Its description in RNAcentral is "partial 16S ribosomal RNA". It matches the Rfam family "Bacterial small subunit ribosomal RNA", at positions 524 to 776 of the family's 1533-position model. The record is from RNAcentral.